NNNUGUAUAGCUCAGUGGUAGAGCAGCAGAUUGCAGAUCUGUAGGUCGCCGGUUCGAAUCCGGCUGUACCCU
Molecule: transfer RNA, 72 nt
Organism: Anncaliia algerae PRA339
Lineage: Eukaryota; Fungi; Microsporidia; Tubulinosematidae
Rfam family: tRNA
About the family: Transfer RNA (tRNA) molecules are approximately 80 nucleotides in length.
Source: Rfam